RNAcentral lists this ribosomal RNA (625 nucleotides) under Wickerhamiella sp. 9E1. RNAcentral's name for it is "LSU rRNA". It matches the Rfam family "Eukaryotic large subunit ribosomal RNA", at positions 1 to 648 of the family's 3401-position model. The record is from RNAcentral. Lineage: Eukaryota; Fungi; Ascomycota; Dipodascomycetes; Dipodascales; Trichomonascaceae.
UUUAAAUUGACCUCGUAUCAGGUAAGAGUACCCGCUGAACUUAAGCAUAUCAAUAAGCGGAGGAAAAGAAACCAACAGGGAUUGCCUUAGUAGUGGCGAAUGAACCGGCAAAAGUCCAAAUUUGAAAUCUGCCAGCAAUGGCCGAGUUGUAAUUUGAAGAUGGUAAUUCUGUGGAGAGUCUUUGCUCAAGUUUCCUGGAAUGGAACGCCGAGGAGGGUGACAGCCCCGUGAGGCAUAGACUUAAAGCGUGUAGAGUACUAUCAAAGAGUCGGGUUGUUUGGGAAUGCAGCUCUAAUCUCGUGGUAAGUGGCACGAAAGACUAAAUAUUGGUGAGAGACCGAUAGCGAACAAGUACUGUGAAGGAAAGAUGAAAAGCACUUUGAAAAGAGAGUGAAAUAGUACGUGAAAUUGUUAAUAUGGAAGGAUAUAAAACUAGACACGGAGUUUUGAGUUCGGCAGUCCCUCGGGAUUGUUUUGUCUCUUUAUUCCACACCAGCAUCAGUUUUGGCAGGAGGAUAAACAGUGCGGAAUGUAGCUACUUUGUAGUGUUAUAGCCGUACUGCAUACUCUUAGCCGGGACUGAGGUCAGCCUUUGUAGGAUGCUGGGGUAAUGGUUUUAUAUCAC